RNAcentral lists this ribosomal RNA (464 nucleotides) under uncultured Klebsiella sp. RNAcentral describes it as "bacterial SSU rRNA". It matches the Rfam family "Bacterial small subunit ribosomal RNA", at positions 339 to 795 of the family's 1533-position model. The record is from RNAcentral. Lineage: Bacteria; Pseudomonadati; Pseudomonadota; Gammaproteobacteria; Enterobacterales; Enterobacteriaceae.
CUACGGGGGGCAGCAGUGGGGAAUAUUGCACAAUGGGCGCAAGCCUGAUGCAGCCAUGCCGCGUGUGUGAAGAAGGCCUUCGGGUUGUAAAGCACUUUCAGCGGGGAGGAAGGCGUUAAGGUUAAUAACCUUGGCGAUUGACGUUACCCGCAGAAGAAGCACCGGCUAACUCCGUGCCAGCAGCCGCGGUAAUACGUAGGGUGCAAGCGUUAAUCGGAAUUACUGGGCGUAAAGCGCACGCAGGCGGUCUGUCAAGUCGGAUGUGAAAUCCCCGGGCUCAACCUGGGAACUGCAUUCGAAACUGGCAGGCUAGAGUCUUGUAGAGGGGGGUAGAAUUCCAGGUGUAGCGGUGAAAUGCGUAGAGAUCUGGAGGAAUACCGGUGGCGAAGGCGGCUCACUGGCUCGAUACUGACGCUGAGGUGCGAAAGCGUGGGGAGCAAACAGGAUUAGAUACCCGGGUAGUC